UCGAGAAUCUUGGGCAAUGGGCGAAAGCCUGACCCAGCAAUGCCGCGUGCGGGAUGAAGGUCUUCGGAUUGUAAACCGCUGUCACUGGGGACGAAUUUUGACGGUACCUGGAGAGGAAGACACGGCUAACUACGUGCCAGCAGCCGCGGUAAUACGUAGGUGUCAAGCGUUGUUCGGAUUUAUUGGGCGUAAAGGGUCCGCAGGUGGCCUGGCAAGUCUGAUGUGAAAUCCCGGAGCUCAACUCCGGAACUGCAUUGGAAACUGCUGGGCUAGAGUAUCGGAGAGGAGAUUGGAAUUCCAGGUGUAGCGAUAAAAUGCGUAGAUAUCUGGAAGAACACCGAAAGCGUAGGCAGAUCUCUGGACGAUCACUGACACUCAGGGACGAAAGCAUGGGGAGCAAACA
Molecule: ribosomal RNA, 403 nt
Filed under: uncultured prokaryote
Description: bacterial SSU rRNA
Rfam family: Bacterial small subunit ribosomal RNA
Source: RNAcentral